GAACGCGAAGAACCUUACCAGCCCUUGACAUGCCUCGGAAGUGGACGAGAGAUCGAUCACGCUCUUCGGAGCCGGGGACACAGGUGCUGCAUGGCUGUCGUCAGCUCGUGUCGUGAGAUGUUGGGUUAAGUCCCGCAACGAGCGCAACCCUCGCCCUUAGUUGCCAUCAUUCAGUUGGGCACUUAGGGGGACUGCCGGUGAUAAGCCGGAGGAAGGUGGGGAUGACGUCAAGUCCUCAUGGCCCUUACGGGCUGGGCUACACACGUGCUACAAUGGCGGUGACAGUGGGCAGCAAGGCAGCAAUGCCAAGCUAAUCUCAAAAAGCCGUCUCAGUUCGGAUUGAGGUCUGCAACUCGACCUCAUGAAGUUGGAAUCGCUAGUAAUCGCGGAUCAGAACGCCGCGGUGAAUACGUUCCCGGGUCUUGUACACACC
RNAcentral lists this ribosomal RNA (433 nucleotides) under uncultured bacterium. RNAcentral describes it as "bacterial SSU rRNA". It matches the Rfam family "Bacterial small subunit ribosomal RNA", at positions 957 to 1391 of the family's 1533-position model. The record is from RNAcentral.